AGGAAUAUUGGUCAAUGGGCGAGAGCCUGAACCAGCCAAGUAGCGUGAAGGAUGACUGCCCUAUGGGUUGUAAACUUCUUUUAUAAAGGAAUAAAGUCGGGUAUGGAUACCCGUUUGCAUGUACUUUAUGAAUAAGGAUCGGCUAACUCCGUGCCAGCAGCCGCGGUAAUACGGAGGAUCCGAGCGUUAUCCGGAUUUAUUGGGUUUAAAGGGAGCGUAGAUGGAUGUUUAAGUCAGUUGUGAAAGUUUGCGGCUCAACCGUAAAAUUGCAGUUGAUACUGGAUAUCUUGAGUGCAGUUGAGGCAGGCGGAAUUCGUGGUGUAGCGGUGAAAUGCUUAGAUAUCACGAAGAACUCCGAUUGCGAAGGCAGCCUGCUAAGCUGCAACUGACAUUGAGGCUCGAAAGUGUGGGUAUCAAACAGGAUUAGAUACCCUGGUAGUCCACACGGUAAACGAUGAAUACUCGCUGUUUGCGAUAUACUGCAAGCGGCCAAGCGAAAGCGUUAAGUAUUCCACCUGGGGAGUACGCCGGCAACGGUGAAACUCAAAGGAAUUGACGGGGGCCCGCACAAGCGGAGGAACAUGUGGUUUAAUUCGAUGAUACGCGAGGAACCUUACCCGGGCUUAAAUUGCAGAUGAAUUACGGUGAAAGCCGUAAGCCGCAAGGCAUCUGUGAAGGUGCUGCAUAGUUGUCGUCAGCUCGUGCCGUGAGGUGUCGGCUUAAGUGCCAUAACGAGCGCAACCCUUGUUGUCAGUUACUAACAGGUUCCGCUGAGGACUCUGACAAGACUGCCAUCGUAAGAUGUGAGGAAGGUGGGGAUGACGUCAAAUCAGCACGGCCCUUACGUCCGGGGCUACACACGUGUUACAAUGGGGGGUACAGAGGGCCGCUACCACGCGAGUGGAUGCCAAUCCCCAAAACCUCUCUCAGUUCGGACUGGAGUCUGCAACCCGACUCCACGAAGCUGGAUUCGCUAGUAAUCGCGCAUCAGCCACGGCGCGGUGAAUACGUUCCCG
RNAcentral lists this ribosomal RNA (1016 nucleotides) under uncultured bacterium. RNAcentral describes it as "bacterial SSU rRNA". It matches the Rfam family "Bacterial small subunit ribosomal RNA", at positions 357 to 1376 of the family's 1533-position model. The record is from RNAcentral.